RNAcentral lists this non-coding RNA (217 nucleotides) under Chloroflexota bacterium. RNAcentral's name for it is "Chloroflexi bacterium GlcN6P sequence". It matches the Rfam family "glmS glucosamine-6-phosphate activated ribozyme aptamer". Rfam says of the family: This entry contains a glucosamine-6-phosphate activated ribozyme that is found in the mRNA for GlmS. Lineage: Bacteria; Bacillati; Chloroflexota. The record is from RNAcentral.
AACGGGUGAAUAGCGUAUGGGUCUCAGCACCGAUGCUGAGGUCACGAGGAGGAGGUUCCCCAUAAAUAUAUGGGGCUAACCCCAGGUAUGUCUGGGGGAAAAUCGAGAAAUCAACGGAUGCCUCCAAAGCCCGCCACAGGCUUCUUUCCCCUUCCGAAGAAGCACCAGUACAAAACCUUCUGGCGACAGAGGAACAAAAACUGGUGCGGUGGUACGU